This is a non-coding RNA of Erinaceus europaeus (western European hedgehog), 115 nucleotides long. The record is from Rfam. Lineage: Eukaryota; Metazoa; Chordata; Mammalia; Eulipotyphla; Erinaceidae.
AUACUCUAGUUUCUCCUCAGAUCACAUAAAUCUUUCGCCUUUUACUAAAGAUUUCCGUGCAGAGGGACAAUCUGAGCUGUUAUCCAAUUCUUUGAGGCCUUGUGUCUGCAAGGCU